AUCAAACUUGAGAGUUUGAUCCUGGCUCAGAACGAACGCUGGCGGCAUGCCUAACACAUGCAAGUCGAACGAUGCUUUCGGGCAUAGUG
Molecule: ribosomal RNA, 89 nt
Filed under: Sphingomonas sp. Leaf23
Lineage: Bacteria; Pseudomonadati; Pseudomonadota; Alphaproteobacteria; Sphingomonadales; Sphingomonadaceae
Description: partial 16S ribosomal RNA
Rfam family: Bacterial small subunit ribosomal RNA
Source: RNAcentral